Paenibacillus naphthalenovorans is the source of this 185-nucleotide non-coding RNA. Lineage: Bacteria; Bacillati; Bacillota; Bacilli; Caryophanales; Paenibacillaceae. The record is from Rfam.
UCCGCCGCGAGGCGGAAUCUGAAGGAUGCCGGAGGCAAAAGCACGGGCCAAGAAAAGCACGGGCCAAGGUACAUGAGCCCAAUUUGAGGCAGUGUUAGUCGGAUGAGCCUCUACACCAAGGCAAAAUCCAAAGCCGCCAAGGGCUGACGCUGUAGACUUGGGUAGUCGCGGGAAAGGAGAGAGGA